GCAUAUGGCCUUACCACUGUGAACACACCCAACCUCUGAUCUCUGAAGCUAACAGGUUGGGCCUGGUUAGUACUUGGAUGGGAAACCUCUUGGGAAUACUGGGUGCUGUAGCCU
RNAcentral lists this ribosomal RNA (114 nucleotides) under Haliaeetus albicilla (white-tailed eagle). RNAcentral also lists the same sequence under 2 other names. Lineage: Eukaryota; Metazoa; Chordata; Aves; Accipitriformes; Accipitridae. The record is from RNAcentral.